RNAcentral lists this ribosomal RNA (293 nucleotides) under uncultured bacterium. RNAcentral describes it as "partial 16S ribosomal RNA". It matches the Rfam family "Archaeal small subunit ribosomal RNA", at positions 455 to 747 of the family's 1478-position model. The record is from RNAcentral.
GUGUCAGCAGCCGCGGUAAUACCGGCGGCUCGAGUGGUGGCCACUAUUAUUGGGCUUAAAGCGUUCGUAGCUGGAUUGUUAAGUCUCUUGGGAAAUCUACCGGCUUAACCGAUAGGCGUCCAAGGGAUACUGGCAAUCUAGGGACCGGGAGAGGUGAGGGGUACUUCAGGGGUAGGAGUGAAAUCCUGUAAUCCUUGGGGGACCACCUGUGGCGAAGGCGCCUCACCAGAACGGCUCCGACAGUGAGGGACGAAAGCUGGGGGAGCAAACCGGAUUAGAUACCCCAGUAGUCC